RNAcentral lists this ribosomal RNA (253 nucleotides) under uncultured bacterium. RNAcentral's name for it is "partial 16S ribosomal RNA". It matches the Rfam family "Bacterial small subunit ribosomal RNA", at positions 524 to 776 of the family's 1533-position model. The record is from RNAcentral.
UACGUAGGGUGCAAGCGUUAAUCGGAAUUACUGGGCGUAAAGCGUGCGCAGGCGGCUAUGCAAGACAGAUGUGAAAUCCCCGGGCUCAACCUGGGAACUGCAUUUGUGACUGCAUGGCUAGAGUACGGCAGAGGGGGAUGGAAUUCCGCGUGUAGCAGUGAAAUGCGUAGAUAUGCGGAGGAACACCGAUGGCGAAGGCAAUCCCCUGGGCCUGUACUGACGCUCAUGCACGAAAGCUAGGGGAGCAAACGGG